GACUGAGCCACCUAGGUACCCCUUA
This 25-nucleotide microRNA is filed under the name Canis lupus familiaris (dog). Its description in RNAcentral is "cfa-miR-8890". Lineage: Eukaryota; Metazoa; Chordata; Mammalia; Carnivora; Canidae. The record is from miRBase by way of RNAcentral.